AUUGAACGCUAGCGGGAUGCCUUACACAUGCAAGUCGAACGGCAGCGCGGACUUCGGUCUGGCGGCGAGUGGCGAACGGGUGAGUAAUGUAUCGGAACGUGCCCAGUAGCGGGGGAUAACUACUCGAAAGAGUAGCUAAUACCGCAUACGCCCUACGGGGGAAAGGGGGGGAUCGCAAGACCUCUCACUAUUGGAGCGGCCGAUAUCGGAUUAGCUAGUUGGUGAGGUAAAGGCUCACCAAGGCGACGAUCCGUAGCUGGUUUGAGAGGACGACCAGCCACACUGGGACUGGGACACGGCCCAGACUCCUACGGGAGGCAGCAGUGGGGAAUUUUGGACAAGGGGGGCAACCCUGAUCCAGCCAUUCCGCGUGUGCGAUGAAGGCCUUCGGGUUGUAGAGCACUUUUGGCAGGAAAGAAAUCGCACGGAUUAAUACUCUGUGUGGAUGACGGUACCUGCAGAAUAAGCACCGGCUAACUACGUGCCAGCAGCCGCCGUAA
Molecule: ribosomal RNA, 500 nt
Filed under: uncultured bacterium
Lineage: Bacteria
Description: partial 16S ribosomal RNA
Rfam family: Bacterial small subunit ribosomal RNA
Source: RNAcentral